This 652-nucleotide ribosomal RNA is filed under the name Gambierdiscus australes. RNAcentral's name for it is "partial large subunit ribosomal RNA". Lineage: Eukaryota; Dinophyceae; Gonyaulacales; Pyrocystaceae. The record is from RNAcentral.
UGCUGGACAAGGAGUGUUCUGUUGAGCUCAUUUUCACACGAUGAACAACUGGCUUAGAACUGAUUCGGGCAAGGGGAAUCUGACUGYUUAAUUGAAACAAAGCAUUSCGAUCCGGGCCUCAAAGGGUGGUGCCACAAUGUGAUUUCUGCCCAGUGCUCUGAAUGUCAAAGUGAGGAAAUUCAACUAAGCGCGGGUAAACGGCGGGAGUAACUAUGACUCUCUUAAGGUAGCCAAAUGCCUCGUCAUCCAAUUAGUGACGCGCAUGAAUGGAUUAAUGAGAUUCCCACUGUCCCCAUCUACUGUCCAGCGAAACCACAGCCAAGGGAACGGGCUUGGGUAAAUCAGCGGGGAAAGAAGACCCUGUUGAGCUUGACUCUAAUCUGACUUUGUGAAAUGACUUAGGAGGUGUAGGAUAUGUGGGAGCUCUGGUGAUCUUGAAAUACCACUACUCUUAAUGUCACUUUACUUACUCUAUCAGACUGUGGCCUGCUUCCCAGCAGGUUUUUGUUUCAAGGCAUCUCAUCUGACUUGUUGACUUGCGUAGAGGACGUAGUCAGGUGGGCAGUUUGGCUGGGGCGGCACAUCUGUUAAAGGAUAACGCAGGUGUCCCAAGGUAAGCUCAAGGAGAACAGAAAUCUCAGGUGGAUCAGAA